AUCGUCUUCAGGGCAGCACCCAACACGUCGGCCGUCCUCUCCGAACACUGAUAGCACAUUUAUGCAUAUAGUAUUUUUAGCCUUUUUGAGUCACAAAUUAAACAUAUGAUCUUAGUAAUCACUCAUAAAGUAUUCAUUCCUACAGAAAUAUUCCUAUUGUGAUAUUUUUACAACACUUAUUCAUUUUUUGCAGGACUGGUGCGUUUAGGCACCCAAAUUUCGUCGAAAAUGCUUUCAACACUAAAGCGGGGAUCAACUUGGAGAAGAGUUCAGUUCUCGAGGGGGCAAAACCGAAAAGUACCAGAGGAGCUGGGGUCUGGCGUGACACACGAGACGUGGUGUCUGAUCCCACGCGCGACUGAACCACCAAGAAGAGGAGUGGGGGUCGAAGGAAAAACAACCAGGGGGCCGACUGCUCUCGCUCUCCACGCUGCUCACCUACCACCAGAUCGAACCAGAGGAACACCGGAUUGGAGGAGGGAGAAAAGGGGAUCGAGGGAAGCGAGAAGGAGAACCAGAUCGAAUCCACUGCUCCUCUUCAAUGCCGACGUCGACCCGCUGUACUUCCUCAUCCCCAACCUCAAGAAACAGAGCUGUUGAUCCUCUCCAACGACUUCUCGGUGUUCCGCUGCGAGGCUUCUCCGUCCUGACCGACUGCUGCUGCUCGUCUCCAACACCUACGCCCGUGCCGCUCUGCUCCAACAUCGACUCCCGCGCCGGUCUGCUUCAACUCCGACGACCGCCGCUGCGGCAUCUCCUGCGGGGCGCCGGACACCAGGUGGUUCUCUGCUUCGGGUGGUCGGCUGACCUCCCGUGAAGGCCACCACGAUUCCUCCCCAAGGCCGGGCCCUCCGCUGCUGAUCUUCACCAAGUCCUCUUCACCACGCUGCAGCUCAACCCCAAGGAUCCUCCUCCGCUACUCUUCUUCAACAUCCACGCGGAAGUUUCUGCUGCUACAGAUCGUCUCCAAUGUGCCUCUGCUACUCUUCUUCGCCUGCAACAUCUACAGCUUCGAAUCGAAGAUCAUCAAGACCCAUAGGCUCUGAACUUCUCUCUUCUCUUGUUCCUGUUCUCUGAGUAUAUGCACUGUUGGGUCUGAAAUUUACUCUGUUACCUGUGCACCUUUGCUGAACCCUCAUGUAUCCUUGCUGAAUUGUUGUGAUCCUUUGCUGGAUAUUAAGUUAGUAGUUAUUCUCCUGUGAGCUGCUGUCACUUUAAUUGGUUGCAUGAGUUGUGUGUGAUGUCUGAACCAUCUUCCAUGUGCUAGUGUUACUUGUCUGUUUGCUUACAAGAAAAUCACUAAAAAGAGAAAGUCCUAUUUCUGAACCCUUUUACCCUUGCUGCAUAUUAUUUUGUUUUACCUUGUUCCAGUAGCUGCUUGUUGUCACUUCGGUUGGAUUCAUUUGUUCAGUUGUUCUGAAUGCUUCAAAUGUGUGCUCCGAAGUUCUAGAUCCCUGUGCAUGUUCAGCACCACCACCGCGCCUCCACGACACCCAGCGCCACCACUCUCAAUCUCCUGCUGCUCCUAACCUUCUUCGCGCCACCUGCUGCUGCUCUUCUCUGAACCCCGUGCUGCCGCCCUUCUUCUCUUCCUACUUUUACUACUCCAUCUCCACCGCCCCUUGCUGCUGUUGCCUCAACCUGCUGCUUCUUCCUCUCUGAAUCCCUACUGCUGCUGCCUUUCUUCUCCCCUUGCUACUGCUCCUCUUUCCAGCGCCCCCUUUGCUGCUCCUCUUUCCUUCGCUUGCUCUGCUUCUUCCCCUGCCUUGCUAAAGUUCUCUCCUCACGCCCUCUGCUGCUGCUCCUUCUCAACCCCCCUGCUGCCUCUGUUUCUUCUUGAACCUGAACUCUCUCUCUCUCUCUCUCUCUGAAUUUUCUGUAAGCUAAGAUGUGUAAAACUUUGUAAUGUUCAGAUUCUAAGAGCACUUGCAAUCUGAUAUAUGUUUAGUAGGUACUUGUCAUUUUCUGUUAAUUAAUAUUCUGCUAGUGUAUGUGUGUGAUCUCCUUUGUGUUCAUUUCUUGACUUGUGCUUGUUCAGUUCGAAUCAUUUUGUUGAUCUGUGAGCACUUCUUGUAACCCCCUGGUCGUAUACAUGUGUGUAUUGUAGACCCUGUGUUAACUAUGUGCAUGUGAAAUUAUAUAUGUAUGUGGUGUGAAACUUAUAUAUCCCAGCACCAUACUACUUGUGCAUGUUCAGCACUAUGAUACAUCUUUUAUUUCUAGUUCAUAUAUUCCUCCUAUGUACUUGUGAUAUGUACGUGCUUUUGAUGUGAAUCACUUCUGUCCUUGUCCCAUUAUCUUUGUUCUGUGUUUUUCUUCUUAUAUAUUACUACUAGUUAUAUUU
Molecule: long non-coding RNA, 2344 nt
Filed under: Triticum aestivum (bread wheat)
Lineage: Eukaryota; Viridiplantae; Streptophyta; Magnoliopsida; Poales; Poaceae
Description: long non-coding RNA (TAES_LNC027721)
Source: RNAcentral